Molecule: non-coding RNA, 74 nt
Organism: Endogone sp. FLAS-F59071
Lineage: Eukaryota; Fungi; Mucoromycota; Endogonomycetes; Endogonales; Endogonaceae
Source: the annotation of a GenBank genome assembly
GGUUAGAUAGCAUAAUUGGUAAUGUGUUUAGAUUGCAAAUCUUUAAAAUAAGAGUUCAAUCCUCUUUCUAACCU